CCUUACUAGGGAUUCAGAGCCUGCCCAAGUAGCAUGUCGCCUCACUGCAUGACAUCAAAUGACACGUGAAUGGUGAUAGUGACCUGAGGACAGAAGAUCCCUAGGAGAAUUGUUUUCACGUUGUGUUUGAGAAGCACAGCUGUGGCAGAUGUACGAGCAAAGGGCUCUGCGAACUCAUAGGAGGGAACAGCUAUCUUCAAAAAGACAAUGGCUGGAAAGCUAUAUCAAAGCCUGAAGGCAGCAUAUGAUGAGACAUUGUCCACAUCAGCUUACCUCUUCACAAAGGUACUGCAGAUCCUGAAAAGAAUGGUGAAGAAAGGGCCGGGGGACAUGGUGAUUAAGAAGCUCUCCGGACGCCUGAGUGGCUCAGCCGUUGAAUGUCUAACUUCUGCUCAAGGUGUGAUCCAAGGGCCCCUGAUCCAGUAGCAUAUCCA
Canis lupus familiaris (dog) is the source of this 434-nucleotide long non-coding RNA. RefSeq lists it as uncharacterized. The transcript has 3 exons. Lineage: Eukaryota; Metazoa; Chordata; Mammalia; Carnivora; Canidae. The record is from RefSeq and is a predicted model, not a curated record.